UGGGGAAUAUUGCGCAAUGGGGGGAACCCUGACGCAGCCAUGCCGCGUGAAUGAAGAAGGCCUUAGGGUUGUAAAGUUCUUUCGGUAUUGAGGAAGGUUGAUGUGUUAAUAGCACAUCAAAUUGACGUUAAAUACAGAAGAAGCACCGGCUAACUCCGUGCCAGCAGCCGCGGUAAUACGGAGGGUGCGAGCGUUAAUCGGAAUAACUGGGCGUAAAGGGCACGCAGGCGGUUAUUUAAGUGAGGUGUGAAAGCCCUGGGCUUAACCUAGGAAUUGCAUUUCAGACUGGGUAACUAGAGUACUUUAGGGAGGGGUAGAAUUCCGCGUGUAGCGGUGAAAUGCGUAGAGAUGUGGAGGAAUACCGAAGGCGAAGGCAGCCCCUUGGGAAUGUACUGACGCUCAUGUGCGAAAGCGUGGGGAGCAAACAGGAUUAGAUACCCUGGUAGUCCACGCUGUAAACGCUGUCGAUUUGGGGGUUGGGGUUUAACUCUGGCGCCCGUAGCUAACGUGAUAAAUCGACCGCCUGGGGAGUACGGCCGCAAGGUUA
RNAcentral lists this ribosomal RNA (547 nucleotides) under uncultured bacterium. RNAcentral's name for it is "bacterial SSU rRNA". It matches the Rfam family "Bacterial small subunit ribosomal RNA", at positions 355 to 896 of the family's 1533-position model. The record is from RNAcentral.